CAGUAGCCGCGGUAAUACAGAGGGUGCAAGCGUUAAUCGGAAUUACUGGGCGUAAAGCGCGCGUAGGUGGUUUGUUAAGUUGGAUGUGAAAUCCCCGGGCUCAACCUGGGAACUGCAUUCGAAACUGACUGACUAGAGUAUGGUAGAGGGUGGUGGAAUUUCCUGUGUAGCGGUGAAAUGCGUAGAUAUAGGAAGGAACACCAGUGGCGAAGGCGACCACCUGGACUAAUACUGACACUGAGGUGCGAAAGCGUGGGGAGCAAACAGGAUUAGAUACCCCGGUAGUCCCUGUCUCUUAUAC
RNAcentral lists this ribosomal RNA (301 nucleotides) under uncultured bacterium. RNAcentral's name for it is "partial 16S ribosomal RNA". It matches the Rfam family "Bacterial small subunit ribosomal RNA", at positions 509 to 807 of the family's 1533-position model. The record is from RNAcentral.